This 463-nucleotide ribosomal RNA is filed under the name uncultured bacterium. RNAcentral describes it as "bacterial SSU rRNA". It matches the Rfam family "Bacterial small subunit ribosomal RNA", at positions 28 to 507 of the family's 1533-position model. The record is from RNAcentral.
GACGAACGCUGGCGGCGUGCCUAACACAUGCAAGUCGAACGGAGAUUAUAGCAAUGUAAUCUUAGUGGCGGACGGGUGAGUAACGCGUGGGCAACCUACCUCUAACCGGGGGAUAACACAGGGAAACUUGUGCUAAUACCGCAUAAGAUCAUAGGAGGACAUCCUCUAGUGAUCAAAGGAGAAAUCCAGUGAGAGAUGGGCCCGCGUCCGAUUAGCUAGUUGGCGGUGUAACGGACCACCAAGGCGACGAUCGGUAGCCGAACUGAGAGGUUGAUCGGCCACAUUGGGACUGAGACACGGCCCAGACUCCUACGGGAGGCAGCAGUGGGGAAUAUUGCGCAAUGGGGGAAACCCUGACGCAGCAACGCCGCGUGAAGGAUGAAGGUUUUCGGAUCGUAAACCUCUGUUGUACGGGAAGAAGGAUGUGACGGUACCGUACGAGAAAGCCCCGGCAAACUACGUG